GUGUGAGAGUGGAAAGUUCACACUGUGACGGUAUCUUACCAGAAAGGGACGGCUAACUACGUGCCAGCAGCCGCGGUAAUACGUAGGUCCCGAGCGUUGUCCGGAUUUAUUGGGCGUAAAGCGAGCGCAGGCGGUUUGAUAAGUCUGAAGUUAAAGGCUGUGGCUCAACCAUAGUUCGCUUUGGAAACUGUCAAACUUGAGUGCAGAAGGGGAGAGUGGAAUUCCAUGUGUAGCGGUGAAAUGCGUAGAUAUAUGGAGGAACACCGGUGGCGAAAGCGGCUCUCUGGUCUGUAACUGACGCUGAGGCUCGAAAGCGUGGGGAGCGAACAGGAUUAGAUACCCUGGUAGUCCACGCCGUAAACGAUGAGUGCUAGGUGUUGGAUCCUUUCCGGGAUUCAGUGCCGCAGCUAACGCAUUAAGCACUCCGCCUGGGGAGUACGACCGCAAGGUUGAAACUCAAAGGAAUUGACGGGGGCCCGCACAAGCGGUGGAGCAUGUGGUUUAAUUCGAGGCAACGCGAAGAACCUUACCAGGUCUUGACAUCCCGAUGCUAUUUCUAGAGAUAGAAAGUUACUUCGGUACAUCGGUGACAGGUGGUGCAUGGUUGUCGUCAGCUCGUGUCGUGAGAUGUUGGGUUAAGUCCCGCAACGAGCGCAACCCCUAUUGUUAGUUGCCAUCAUUCAGUUGGGCACUCUAGCGAGACUGCCGGUAAUAAACCGGAGGAAGGUGGGGAUGACGUCAAAUCAUCAUGCCCCUUAUGACCUGGGCUACACACGUGCUACAAUGGUUGGUACAACGAGUUGCGAGUCGGUGACGGCGAGCUAAUCUCUUAAAGCCAAUCUCAGUU
Molecule: ribosomal RNA, 847 nt
Filed under: uncultured Streptococcus sp.
Lineage: Bacteria; Bacillati; Bacillota; Bacilli; Lactobacillales; Streptococcaceae
Description: bacterial SSU rRNA
Rfam family: Bacterial small subunit ribosomal RNA
Source: RNAcentral